UUGAUAUUUGUAGUUUGACUUUAGAAUUAUGACCAAAAAAUUAGGUGAGUAAGAUGGAAGAAAAAUAGAUGUGUUUAAAUAAAAAAGCACUUUUAUUAAUUGUUAAAAUGGUUGGAAAGAAGAUCUCUGUCUCUCUUUGGCUAUAAAUAUGAUUCUUCAAUUUUUUUCUUUUUCUGUACAAAGUUUCUUUAUGUGCUUUAUUGUCGCUGACACCAACUUUUGGUAUCAAUACACUGAUUGAGAUCAUCUAUCAUGGGAUAUUAGAGGGGAAUAAUAUCCUUAAGGGUACAUUGUGCAUUCAGAAAAUGUAGUUUUGAGCAUUGAUGAUGAUAAUGAAGUUGAGCUACAAAAUGCAGUGAAAAAUGCAUCAGGCAAUCUGUUUCGAUUUGAUGCACAUGUAACCGAGUACACCAGCUAUGUCGAUAUUGCCACUAUGUCCUGUUCUGCAGGGAGCUGAGAGUGAAUGGAUCUAGCUUGGACGAGCUCCGACUUUGUUUUCCUGUACUAAAGAAACUGGUAAAACAUUCCUAAACAUAUUUCAUAUAAUAAGCUGCAAUAAAAAGAAUAGACAAUUGCUAUCAUGACCAAUCUUUUAGCAGUUAUAUAGAGAAGAAGUUGUUGCAGCUCA
Long non-coding RNA from Solanum lycopersicum (tomato), 628 nucleotides. RefSeq lists it as uncharacterized. The record is from RefSeq and is a predicted model, not a curated record. NCBI's taxonomy places the organism in Eukaryota, Viridiplantae, Streptophyta, Magnoliopsida, Solanales, Solanaceae.